This 2907-nucleotide ribosomal RNA is filed under the name Providencia rettgeri. RNAcentral describes it as "bacterial LSU rRNA". It matches the Rfam family "Bacterial large subunit ribosomal RNA". Lineage: Bacteria; Pseudomonadati; Pseudomonadota; Gammaproteobacteria; Enterobacterales; Morganellaceae. The record is from RNAcentral.
UUAAGCGACUAAGCGUACACGGUGGAUGCCUAGGCAAUCAGAGGCGAUGAAGGACGUGCUAAUCUGCGAUAAGCGUCGGUAAGGUGAUAUGAACCGUUAUACCCGACGAUUUCCGAAUGGGGAAACCCAGUGCAAUCCGUUGCACUAUCGUUUGAUGAAUACAUAGUCAAACGAAGCGAACCGGGGGAACUGAAACAUCUCAGUACCCCGAGGAAAAGAAAUCAACCGAGAUUCCCCUAGUAGCGGCGAGCGAACGGGGAGCAGCCCAGAGUCUUAAUCAGCAUUAGUAUCAGGAGAACGGUCUGGAAAGUCCGGCAGUAAAGGGUGAUAGCCCCGUAUCUGAAGAUAUUAGUGUUGUGAACUCGACGAGUAGGGCGGGACACGUGUUAUCCUGUCUGAAUAUGGGGGGACCAUCCUCCAAGGCUAAAUACUCCUGAUUGACCGAUAGUGAACCAGUACCGUGAGGGAAAGGCGAAAAGAACCCCGGCGAGGGGAGUGAAAUAGAACCUGAAACCGUGUACGUACAAGCAGUGGGAGCCUUGAUUUAUCAGGGUGACUGCGUACCUUUUGUAUAAUGGGUCAGCGACUUAUAUUCUGUAGCAAGGUUAACCGUAUAGGGGAGCCGUAGGGAAACCGAGUCUUAACUGGGCGAAUGAGUUGCAGGGUAUAGACCCGAAACCCGGUGAUCUAGCCAUGGGCAGGUUGAAGGUUGGGUAACACUAACUGGAGGACCGAACCGACUAAUGUUGAAAAAUUAGCGGAUGACUUGUGGCUGGGGGUGAAAGGCCAAUCAAACCGGGAGAUAGCUGGUUCUCCCCGAAAGCUAUUUAGGUAGCGCCUCGUGAACUCAUCUUCGGGGGUAGAGCACUGUUUCGACUAGGGGGUCAUCCCGACUUACCAACUCGAUGCAAACUACGAAUACCGAAGAAUGUUAUCACGGGAGACACACGGCGGGUGCUAACGUUCGUCGUGAAGAGGGAAACAACCCAGACCGCCAGCUAAGGUCCCAAAGUCAUAGUUAAGUGGGAAACGAAGUGGGAAGGCUCAGACAGCCAGGAUGUUGGCUUAGAAGCAGCCAUCAUUUAAAGAAAGCGUAAUAGCUCACUGGUCGAGUCGGCCUGCGCGGAAGAUGUAACGGGGCUAAACUAUGCACCGAAGCUGCGGCAGCGAUAUGUAAAUAUUGUUGGGUAGGGGAGCGUUCUGUAAGCCUGUGAAGGUGUGCUGUGAGGCAUGCUGGAGGUAUCAGAAGUGCGAAUGCUGACAUAAGUAACGAUAAUGCGGGUGAAAAACCCGCACGCCGGAAGACCAAGGGUUCCUGUCCAACGUUAAUCGGGGCAGGGUGAGUCGACCCCUAAGGCGAGGCAGAAAUGCGUAGUCGAUGGGAAACGGGUUAAUAUUCCCGUACUGGUGAUAAUUGCGAUGGGGGGACGGAGAAGGCUAGGCUGGCCGGGCGACGGUUGUCCCGGUUUAAGGAUGUAGGCAGGUGAAUUAGGCAAAUCCGGUUCACUAUAUGCUGAGGUCUGAUGACGAGUCACUACGGUGGCGAAGUAGCUCAUGCCCCGCUUCCAGGAAAAGCCUCUAAGCUCUAGAUUAUCAUUAAUCGUACCCCAAACCGACACAGGUGGUCAGGUAGAGAAUACUCAGGCGCUUGAGAGAACUCGGGUGAAGGAACUAGGCAAAAUGGUGCCGUAACUUCGGGAGAAGGCACGCUGGCGCUAGGUGAAGUGGUUUACCCAUGGAGCUGAAGCCAGUCGCAGAUACCAGCUGGCUGCAACUGUUUAUUAAAAACACAGCACUGUGCAAACACGAAAGUGGACGUAUACGGUGUGACGCCUGCCCGGUGCUGGAAGGUUAAUUGAUGGGGUUAUCCGUAAGGAGAAGCUCUUGAUCGAAGCCCCAGUAAACGGCGGCCGUAACUAUAACGGUCCUAAGGUAGCGAAAUUCCUUGUCGGGUAAGUUCCGACCUGCACGAAUGGCGUAAUGAUGGCCAGGCUGUCUCCACCCGAGACUCAGUGAAAUUGAACUCGCUGUGAAGAUGCAGUGUACCCGCGGCAAGACGGAAAGACCCCGUGAACCUUUACUAUAGCUUGACACUGAACAUUGAGCCUUGAUGUGUAGGAUAGGUGGGAGGCUUUGAAGUGUGGACGCCAGUCUGCAUGGAGCCAACCUUGAAAUACCACCCUUUAAUGUUUGAUGUUCUAACGUUGCCCCGUUAUCCGGGGUGCGGACAGUGUCUGGUGGGUAGUUUGACUGGGGCGGUCUCCUCCCAAAGAGUAACGGAGGAGCACGAAGGUUGGCUAAGCAUGGUCGGACAUCAUGCGGUUAGUGCAAAGGCAUAAGCCAGCUUGACUGCGAGAGUGACGGCUCGAGCAGGUACGAAAGUAGGUCUUAGUGAUCCGGUGGUUCUGAAUGGAAGGGCCAUCGCUCAACGGAUAAAAGGUACUCCGGGGAUAACAGGCUGAUACCGCCCAAGAGUUCAUAUCGACGGCGGUGUUUGGCACCUCGAUGUCGGCUCAUCACAUCCUGGGGCUGAAGUAGGUCCCAAGGGUACGGCUGUUCGCCGUUUAAAGUGGUACGCGAGCUGGGUUUAGAACGUCGUGAGACAGUUCGGUCCCUAUCUGCCGUGGGCGUUGGAAGAUUGAAAGGGGCUGCUCCUAGUACGAGAGGACCGGAGUGGACGCACCACUGGUGUUCGGGUUGUCAUGCCAAUGGCAUUGCCCGGUAGCUAAGUGCGGAAGAGAUAACCGCUGAAAGCAUCUAAGCGGGAAACUUGCCUUGAGAUGAGUCUUCCCUGACCCUUUAAGGGUCCUAAAGGAACGUUUAAGACUAAGACGUUGAUAGGUUGGGUGUGUAAGCAUAGCGAUAUGUUGAGCUAACCAAUACUAAUGAACCGUGAGGCUUAACCUG